Long non-coding RNA from Aegilops tauschii subsp. strangulata, 1019 nucleotides. RefSeq lists it as uncharacterized. Lineage: Eukaryota; Viridiplantae; Streptophyta; Magnoliopsida; Poales; Poaceae. The record is from RefSeq and is a predicted model, not a curated record.
ACAAAACAUUUUUUAAAAAGUUCACGUUUUAUACUAUCUCCAUUCCAAAAUAUAUGAAUUUAGCCUACCAAAAUGUCAUUCUAAAGCUAGUAUAUUUUGGGACCGGGGAAUAUAUUUUAGAACGGAGGUAGUACUCCUUGAUUACCAAAAGAUGCCCCACAGUUUGGUAAUUUACUACUCUCGAGCUGUUGAACAGUGCAAUCUUUUUGUUAUGUGUGUUUUUCUUUUUGCGCCGAAUCUAGCACGGACUCCUACCGUAUCGUGCGCAAUAGCCUGAAGAAAGAAAGGGUCACGUGGACUUCCCUCUUCUUGCAUUCUGACGUCGCAGCAGAUUGCAUACUUAUCAAUUUUCUUAUUAAAUACACCUAUCCAUCUGGUACGUUUACAAGCUUCUAUCUACUAGUACAAGUCUUUGACUUCCAAAGCCAGCCUAUAAAUACUGCAUAUCCUCUCUGACAUAAAAGUUCUUGCUCCAUAGCAAACCAAGUGGAGAAAGGAAAGGAAGCAUACUCGAAACUUCGCCCAACACCACCCACCGAUCAUGAGUGCAAGAAAUGCUAUCAUAUGCUUUGUGUUGAUUCUUGUAUUGUUCCCGGAUCAUGGCUCCGCAGGAUGCUGGGUGAAUAUCAAUGGCGGCCCACUCUGCAUAGGCUUUCUGUGCAAGGCGACUUGCUUGAUUGCGGAGAAGAUGUUUAAUUGCGUUCUCAAGGAGCACAGGUGCGAGGGGACACCGCUCAAUAGCGAAUGCAUGUGCUAUCUCUGCGACAAAUAGUCGGUUAACAUGGGAGCUGAAGAUAGCCUCAUGAUUACAAAGUGUCAAACAAUGGGAAUGAAUAAUUUCUAAUAGAAACCAGUAUCCUCAAAUCCGAUGCAGUUUCCUGCAUUCUCAAAUGCCGUGUCAUCAAUAUUCAUGCAUACUCCAAGAUUUCGCUGCAAAACAACAACAGGCAUGUGGAUGGCAUGCCAAUCAUGUGCUAUGUACUUUCAUGGACGAAAAAGCUGCUUUCUUCCUGACCGCA